RNAcentral lists this ribosomal RNA (375 nucleotides) under uncultured bacterium. RNAcentral's name for it is "bacterial SSU rRNA". It matches the Rfam family "Bacterial small subunit ribosomal RNA", at positions 523 to 898 of the family's 1533-position model. The record is from RNAcentral.
AUACGUAGGGUGCGAGCGUUAAUCGGAAUUACUGGGCGUAAAGCGUGCGCAGGCGGUUAUACAAGACAGGCGUGAAAUCCCCGGGCUUAACCUGGGAAUGGCGCCUGUGACUGUAUAGCUAGAGUGUGUCAGAGGGGGGUAGAAUUCCACGUGUAGCAGUGAAAUGCGUAGAUAUGUGGAGGAAUACCAAUGGCGAAGGCAGCCCCCUGGGAUAACACUGACGCUCAUGCACGAAAGCGUGGGGAGCAAACAGGAUUAGAUACCCUGGUAGUCCACGCCCUAAACGAUGCUGACUAGUUGUUCGGGAUUUACAUCCUGAGUAACGUAGCUAACGCGUGAAGUCAGCCGCCUGGGGAGUACGGUCGCAAGAUUAAA